This 495-nucleotide ribosomal RNA is filed under the name Escherichia coli. Its description in RNAcentral is "bacterial SSU rRNA". It matches the Rfam family "Bacterial small subunit ribosomal RNA", at positions 1 to 483 of the family's 1533-position model. The record is from RNAcentral. Lineage: Bacteria; Pseudomonadati; Pseudomonadota; Gammaproteobacteria; Enterobacterales; Enterobacteriaceae.
UUAAAUUGAAGAGUUUGAUCAUGGCUCAGAUUGAACGCUGGCGGCAGGCCUAACACAUGCAAGUCGAACGGUAACAGAAAGCAGCUUGCUGCUUUGCUGACGAGUGGCGGACGGGUGAGUAAUGUCUGGGAAACUGCCUGAUGGAGGGGGAUAACUACUGGAAACGGUAGCUAAUACCGCAUAACGUCGCAAGACCAAAGAGGGGGACCUUCGGGCCUCUUGCCAUCGGAUGUGCCCAGAUGGGAUUAGCUAGUAGGUGGGGUAACGGCUCACCUAGGCGACGAUCCCUAGCUGGUCUGAGAGGAUGACCAGCCACACUGGAACUGAGACACGGUCCAGACUCCUACGGGAGGCAGCAGUGGGGAAUAUUGCACAAUGGGCGCAAGCCUGAUGCAGCCAUGCCGCGUGUAUGAAGAAGGCCUUCGGGUUGUAAAGUACUUUCAGCGGGGAGGAAGGGAGUAAAGUUAAUACCUUUGCUCAUUGACGUUACCCGCA